Molecule: long non-coding RNA, 566 nt
Organism: Conger conger (European conger)
Lineage: Eukaryota; Metazoa; Chordata; Actinopteri; Anguilliformes; Congridae
Exons: 3
Source: RefSeq, a predicted model, not a curated record
UGGGGUAGGAAGUUGGGGCAGAACUGGGGCAAUAAAGCUGAGCAGAAGGCAGAUUCUUGGCAGCGUAAAGGCCCCCUUGAGUAUGACUACAUUACCCAUAAUGCUCGGCGGAACCCUGUUCCUGAAUGUAAUUCACGAGCCCCGUGGGUUCUGGGCAUGCUGUUUGGGGCAUCCAGAGGGCAGAAAGACCCCAGGAGAUGCACUAUGUCAGCCAGGCGUCCAUCUCACUGGCUGGCCCCCGGUGUUUCAGUCCUUUCCCGUAUUGUAGCCCCCGCCCCAAACCCAGCAGCUGAGGAGAGAGCAGCGAGGGAGAGAGCGAGAGAGUCAGAGUGGGAGAGAGUGAGAGAGAGAGGAGGGGCGAGAGAGCACCCCAACCUGCCCAGGCCUGUGCGGAGCCAGCGUGACCACAGGCCCAGGGGGCAGCUCUACUGACCGCUGUGUGACACUGCGUUACGACCUUAGAGGUUAGAGUUACGCAAAACUAGCCUGGCUGAUCCGAUGACACAAACACAAGCUAGCUGACUACGGCGGUUCGCUGAAAACAAACGCAUCAAUUAUUCAUUUAA